GAUGAACGCUGGCGGCGUGCCUAAUACAUGCAAGUCGAGCGAACGGACGAGGAGCUUGCUUCUCUGAUGUUAGCGGCGGACGGGUGAGUAACACGUGGAUAACCUACCUAUAAGACUGGGAUAACUUCGGGAAACCGGAGCUAAUACCGGAUGAUAUUUUGAACCGCAUGGUUCAACAGUGAAAGACGGUCUUGCUGUCACUUAUAGAUGGAUCCGCGCUGCAUUAGCUAGUUGGUAAGGUAACGGCUUACCAAGGCAACGAUGCAUAGCCGACCUGAGAGGGUGAUCGGCCACACUGGAACUGAGACACGGUCCAGACUCCUACGGGAGGCAGCAGUAGGGAAUCUUCCGCAAUGGGCGAAAGCCUGACGGAGCAACGCCGCGUGAGUGAUGAAGGUCUUCGGAUCGUAAAACUCUGUUAUUAGGGAAGAACAUAUGUGUAAGUAACUGUGCACAUCUUGACGGUACCUAAUCAGAAAGCCACGGCUAACUACGUG
Molecule: ribosomal RNA, 497 nt
Filed under: uncultured bacterium
Lineage: Bacteria
Description: partial 16S ribosomal RNA
Rfam family: Bacterial small subunit ribosomal RNA
Source: RNAcentral